GGGUUGUGAGGUUAAGCGACUAAGCGUACACGGUGGAUGCCCUGGCAGUCAGAGGCGAUGAAGGACGUGCUAAUCUGCGAUAAGCGCCGGUAAGGUGAUAUGAACCGUUAUAACCGGCGAUUUCCGAAUGGGGAAACCCAGUGUGACUCGUCACACUAUCAUUAACUGAAUCCAUAGGUUAAUGAGGCGAACCGGGGGAACUGAAACAUCUAAGUACCCCGAGGAAAAGAAAUCAACCGAGAUUCCCCCAGUAGCGGCGAGCGAACGGGGAGGAGCCCAGAGCCUGAAUCAGCAUGUGUGUUAGUGGAAGCGUCUGGAAAGGCGCGCGAUACAGGGUGACAGCCCCGUACACAAAAGCGCAUGUGCUGUGAGCUCGAUGAGUAGGGCGGGACACGUGGUAUCCUGUCUGAAUAUGGGGGGACCAUCCUCCAAGGCUAAAUACUCCUGACUGACCGAUAGUGAACCAGUACCGUGAGGGAAAGGCGAAAAGAACCCCGGCGAGGGGAGUGAAAAAGAACCUGAAACCGUGUACGUACAAGCAGUGGGAGCACAGGUUUACCUGUGUGACUGCGUACCUUUUGUAUAAUGGGUCAGCGACUUAUAUUCUGUAGCAAGGUUAACCGCAUAGGGGAGCCGCAGGGAAACCGAGUCUUAACCGGGCGUUAAGUUGCAGGGUAUAGACCCGAAACCCGGUGAUCUAGCCAUGGGCAGGUUGAAGGUUGGGUAACACUAACUGGAGGACCGAACCGACUAAUGUUGAAAAAUUAGCGGAUGACCUGUGGCUGGGGGUGAAAGGCCAAUCAAACCGGGAGAUAGCUGGUUCUCCCCGAAAGCUAUUUAGGUAGCGCCUCGUGAAUUCAUCUCCGGGGGUAGAGCACUGUUUCGGCUAGGGGGCCAUCCCGGCUUACCAACCCGAUGCAAACUGCGAAUACCGGAGAAUGUUAUCACGGGAGACACACGGCGGGUGCUAACGUCCGUCGUGAAGAGGGAAACAACCCAGACCGCCAGCUAAGGUCCCAAAGUCAUGGUUAAGUGGGAAACGAUGUGGGAAGGCCCAGACAGCCAGGAUGUUGGCUUAGAAGCAGCCAUCAUUUAAAGAAAGCGUAAUAGCUCACUGGUCGAGUCGGCCUGCGCGGAAGAUGUAACGGGGCUAAACCAUGCACCGAAGCUGCGGCAGCGAACGUAUCACCCAAGACAACUUUGCGGAGUUGACGAUUGACGGAGCGAAGCGACGUCAAAGCGUUCAUUAAAGUCGAGUUGGCUUAGGGAUACGUUCGUUGGGUAGGGGAGCGUUCUGUAAGCCUGUGAAGGUAUGCUGUGAGGCAUGCUGGAGGUAUCAGAAGUGCGAAUGCUGACAUAAGUAACGAUAAAGCGGGUGAAAAGCCCGCUCGCCGGAAGACCAAGGGUUCCUGUCCAACGUUAAUCGGGGCAGGGUGAGUCGACCCCUAAGGCGAGGCCGAAAGGCGUAGUCGAUGGGAAACGGGUUAAUAUUCCCGUACUUGGUGUUACUGCGAAGGGGGGACGGAGAAGGCUAUGUUGGCCGGGCGACGGUUGUCCCGGUUUAAGCGUGUAGGUGUGUGUUCCAGGUAAAUCCGGUUCACUUUAACACUGAGGCGUGACGACGAGGCACUACGGUGCUGAAGCAACAAAUGCCCUGCUUCCAGGAAAAGCCUCUAAGCAUCAGGUAACAUCAAAUCGUACCCCAAACCGACACAGGUGGUCAGGUAGAGAAUACCAAGGCGCUUGAGAGAACUCGGGUGAAGGAACUAGGCAAAAUGGUGCCGUAACUUCGGGAGAAGGCACGCUGACAUGUAGGUGAAGUGAUUUACUCAUGGAGCUGAAGUCAGUCGAAGAUACCAGCUGGCUGCAACUGUUUAUUAAAAACACAGCACUGUGCAAACACGAAAGUGGACGUAUACGGUGUGACGCCUGCCCGGUGCCGGAAGGUUAAUUGAUGGGGUCAGCGCAAGCGAAGCUCCUGAUCGAAGCCCCGGUAAACGGCGGCCGUAACUAUAACGGUCCUAAGGUAGCGAAAUUCCUUGUCGGGUAAGUUCCGACCUGCACGAAUGGCGUAAUGAUGGCCAGGCUGUCUCCACCCGAGACUCAGUGAAAUUGAACUCGCUGUGAAGAUGCAGUGUACCCGCGGCAAGACGGAAAGACCCCGUGAACCUUUACUAUAGCUUGACACUGAACAUUGAGCCUUGAUGUGUAGGAUAGGUGGGAGGCUUUGAAGUGUGGACGCCAGUCUGCAUGGAGCCGACCUUGAAAUACCACCCUUUAAUGUUUGAUGUUCUAACGUGGACCCGUAAUCCGGGUUGCGGACAGUGUCUGGUGGGUAGUUUGACUGGGGCGGUCUCCUCCUAAAGAGUAACGGAGGAGCACGAAGGUUGGCUAAUCCUGGUCGGACAUCAGGAGGUUAGUGCAAUGGCAUAAGCCAGCUUGACUGCGAGCGUGACGGCGCGAGCAGGUGCGAAAGCAGGUCAUAGUGAUCCGGUGGUUCUGAAUGGAAGGGCCAUCGCUCAACGGAUAAAAGGUACUCCGGGGAUAACAGGCUGAUACCGCCCAAGAGUUCAUAUCGACGGCGGUGUUUGGCACCUCGAUGUCGGCUCAUCACAUCCUGGGGCUGAAGUAGGUCCCAAGGGUAUGGCUGUUCGCCAUUUAAAGUGGUACGCGAGCUGGGUUUAGAACGUCGUGAGACAGUUCGGUCCCUAUCUGCCGUGGGCGCUGGAGAACUGAGGGGGGCUGCUCCUAGUACGAGAGGACCGGAGUGGACGCAUCACUGGUGUUCGGGUUGUCAUGCCAAUGGCACUGCCCGGUAGCUAAAUGCGGAAGAGAUAAGUGCUGAAAGCAUCUAAGCACGAAACUUGCCCCGAGAUGAGUUCUCCCUGAGACUUAAAGUCUCCUGAAGGAACGUUGAAGACGACGACGUUGAUAGGCCGGGUGUGUAAGCGCAGCGAUGCGUUGAGCUAACCGGUACUAAUGAACCGUGAGGCUUAACCUUACAACGCCGAAG
This 3013-nucleotide ribosomal RNA is filed under the name Salmonella enterica subsp. enterica serovar Indiana. Its description in RNAcentral is "23S ribosomal RNA". It matches the Rfam family "Bacterial large subunit ribosomal RNA". Lineage: Bacteria; Pseudomonadati; Pseudomonadota; Gammaproteobacteria; Enterobacterales; Enterobacteriaceae. The record is from RNAcentral.